GUGGGGAAUAUUGGACAAUGGGGGGAACCCUGAUCCAGCCAUGCCGCGUGUGUGAAGAAGGCCUUUUGGUUGUAAAGCACUUUAAGCGAGGAGGAGGCUACCGAGAUUAAUACUCUUGGAUAGUGGACGUUACUCGCAGAAUAAGCACCGGCUAACUCUGUGCCAGCAGCCGCGGUAAUACAGAGGGUGCAAGCGUUAAUCGGAUUUACUGGGCGUAAAGCGCGCGUAGGUGGCCAAUUAAGUCAAAUGUGAAAUCCCCGAGCUUAACUUGGGAAUUGCAUUCGAUACUGGUUGGCUAGAGUAUGGGAGAGGAUGGUAGAAUUCCAGGUGUAGCGGUGAAAUGCGUAGAGAUCUGGGGGAAUACCGAUGGCGAAGGCAGCCAUCUGGCCUAAUACUGACACUGAGGUGCGAAAGCAUGGGGAGCAAACAGGAUUAGAUACCCUAGUAGUCC
RNAcentral lists this ribosomal RNA (451 nucleotides) under uncultured bacterium. RNAcentral describes it as "partial 16S ribosomal RNA". It matches the Rfam family "Bacterial small subunit ribosomal RNA", at positions 354 to 796 of the family's 1533-position model. The record is from RNAcentral.